GACGAACGCUGGCGGCGUGCCUAACACAUGCAAGUCGAACGAGAUCCAUGGGAGCUUGCUCCCGGAAGAUCUAGUGGCGAACGGGUGAGUAACACGUGAGAAACCUGCCCUGGAGUGGGGAAUAACUCGGGGAAACUCGAGCUAAUACCGCAUACCCUCGGAUGGUCGCAUGGCCGACCGAGGAAAGAUUUAUCGCUCUAGGAGGGUCUCGCGGCCUAUCAGCUAGUUGGUGGGGUAACGCCUACCAAGGCAACGACGGGUAGCUGGUUUGAGAGAACGAUCAGCCACACUGGGACUGAGACACGGCCCAGACUCCUACGGGAGGCAGCAGUGGGGAAUCUUGCGCAAUGGGCGAAAGCCUGACGCAGCAACGCCGCGUGCGGGAUGACGGCCUUCGUGUUGUAACCGCUUCUAGCAGGGACG
This 423-nucleotide ribosomal RNA is filed under the name uncultured bacterium. RNAcentral describes it as "bacterial SSU rRNA". It matches the Rfam family "Bacterial small subunit ribosomal RNA", at positions 28 to 447 of the family's 1533-position model. The record is from RNAcentral.